UACGGAGGGGGCUAGUGUUGUUCGGAAUUACUGGGCGUAAAGCGCACGUAGGCGGCUUUGUAAGUUAGAGGUGAAAGCCCGGGGCUCAACUCCGGAAUUGCCUUUAAGACUGCAUCGCUCGAAUUGUGGAGAGGUAAGUGGAAUUCCGAGUGUAGAGGUGAAAUUCGUAGAUAUUCGGAAGAACACCAGUGGCGAAGGCGACUUACUGGACACAUAUUGACGCUGAGGUGCGAAAGCGUGGGGAGCAAACAGG
RNAcentral lists this ribosomal RNA (253 nucleotides) under uncultured bacterium. RNAcentral describes it as "partial 16S ribosomal RNA". It matches the Rfam family "Bacterial small subunit ribosomal RNA", at positions 524 to 776 of the family's 1533-position model. The record is from RNAcentral.